CAGAUAGAGGUCGCGGUUUUUAUCAGUAGCGGCGGUCAGGGCCCCGGGGCCCGGCGACCCGCCGUGAAAGGAAACGCCGCCGAAGGCGCUGCCUCCCCGGAGGGGGACGCGCUUGGUCGUCCGGGCGAAGAGCCCCUCGACUGUCGCCGCAGGGGAGCGGCGGAGCGCUGUCUGG
This 175-nucleotide non-coding RNA is filed under the name human gut metagenome. Its description in RNAcentral is "Lysine riboswitch". It matches the Rfam family "Lysine riboswitch aptamer". From Rfam's summary of the family: Riboswitches are metabolite binding domains within certain messenger RNAs that serve as precision sensors for their corresponding targets. Allosteric rearrangement of mRNA structure is mediated by ligand binding, and this results in modulation of gene expression. This family includes riboswitches that sense lysine in a number of genes involved in lysine metabolism, including lysC. The record is from RNAcentral.